This 497-nucleotide ribosomal RNA is filed under the name uncultured bacterium. RNAcentral describes it as "partial 16S ribosomal RNA". It matches the Rfam family "Bacterial small subunit ribosomal RNA", at positions 28 to 507 of the family's 1533-position model. The record is from RNAcentral.
GAUGAACGCUGGCGGCGUGCCUAAUACAUGCAAGUCGAGCGAACAGACGAGGAGCUUGCUCCUCAGACGUUAGCGGCGGACGGGUGAGUAACACGUGGAUAACCUACCUAUAAGACUGGGAUAACUUCGGGAAACCGGAGCUAAUACCGGAUAAUAUAUUGAACCGCACGGUUCAAUAGUGAAAGACGGUUUUGCUGUCACUUAUAGAUGGAUCCGCGCCGCAUUAGCUAGUUGGUAAGGUAACGGCUUACCAAGGCGACGAUGCGUAGCCGACCUGAGAGGGUGAUCGGCCACACUGGAACUGAGACACGGUCCAGACUCCUACGGGAGGCAGCAGUAGGGAAUCUUCCGCAAUGGGCGAAAGCCUGACGGAGCAACGCCGCGUGAGUGAUGAAGGUCUUCGGAUCGUAAAACUCUGUUAUUAGGGAAGAACAAAUGUGUAAGUAACUAUGCACGUCUUGACGGUACCUAAUCAGAAAGCCACGGCUAACUACGUG